GCCGGUGUGGCGGAAUAGGCAGACGCAAAGGACUUAAAAUCCUUCGGGAGCAAUCCUGUACCGGUUCAAGUCCGGUCACCGGCA
Molecule: transfer RNA, 84 nt
Filed under: Lachnospiraceae bacterium
Lineage: Bacteria; Bacillati; Bacillota; Clostridia; Lachnospirales; Lachnospiraceae
Also listed under: 1 other name
Description: tRNA-Leu
Rfam family: tRNA
About the family: Transfer RNA (tRNA) molecules are approximately 80 nucleotides in length. Their secondary structure includes four short double-helical elements and three loops (D, anti-codon, and T loops). Further hydrogen bonds mediate the characteristic L-shaped molecular structure. tRNAs have two regions of fundamental functional importance: the anti-codon, which is responsible for specific mRNA codon recognition, and the 3' end, to which the tRNAs corresponding amino acid is attached (by aminoacyl-tRNA synthetases). tRNAs cope with the degeneracy of the genetic code in two manners: having more than one tRNA (with a specific anti-codon) for a particular amino acid; and 'wobble' base-pairing, i.e. permitting non-standard base-pairing at the 3rd anti-codon position.
Source: RNAcentral